GCCAAGGGUGACAGUGGUAAAGAAAAACUCCUUAGAGCAUGAGGAAGAAAGCUUGAGAGGAACCAAGACUCAACGGGGGGCCGUCCUCCCCUGGCUGACAGUGGACACCACAAUAGUAACAGUAUGGAACCGCAGGCAUGAGGGCACCCUGGAACAUCAGCACUCCGCUGCAAACUCCAGGGACAAAAGAGAGGAAAGGAGAGCAGCGCUCUCCCUGCUAGGAUGGACACCAUCCCACCCUCAAAGGCCAGGCUUGUCCUUACAUGUGUUCCGAUUAUCUAUAAACCCCACAUUGUUUUGUCAGCACCACUUGGACAGCCAGCAGUUCAGCGAAGAUAACCGGCUGUAUGUUAUAGCGCUGGGCUGCAUUGAGAUGGGACCACAGCGUACUACAGCAUUGGACAUGGCCUUUGCUAACUGACAAAUUUAAUAUAAGGGCUUUUCCUAAACAGACAAAAUCAUUACAGACUAGACAUCAUAAUCUAUUCAUUAAAAUCUAUACAUCAUAAAAUAUAAAUUCUACACUAUAUAUUAUAAUCUGUAUUUUAUAUAAUCUACAUUAUGAACUAUGCAUUAUAAUCUAUACAUUGUAAACUACAUUUCUAAUCUGUAAAUGAUAGACUACACAUAAAAUAUAAUGAUAAUCUAAUAUACAAUAUACAUUAUAGACAGUAUGAACUAUACUUUGUGCAAUAUAUUCUAUACAUUAAAGACUAUACAUUAUAAUAUUGUUUAAGAAUAAAUACUCCUAGUUUCUUACUGUAAUAGUUUACUGUAAAUUUUACAGGGGUCCUCUGUCUAAGUGCUAUUUCGGUUUUGACCAUGUUUGACCUCUUUUGACAUUUUAACAAUGCGUGAUGAAAUCCCUACCGGAUAUCCAGCAGUUCAGUGUAAGUGUGGAUUAAGUGCUCUGAGAAAUAUAUCCUGUCUCCUUUAAA
Molecule: non-coding RNA, 938 nt
Organism: Electrophorus electricus (electric eel)
Lineage: Eukaryota; Metazoa; Chordata; Actinopteri; Gymnotiformes; Gymnotidae
Source: RefSeq, a predicted model, not a curated record